UGGCGAACGGGUGAGUAACGCGUGGGUAACCUGCCCUGUACACACGGAUAACAUACCGAAAGGUAUGCUAAUACGGGAUAACAUAAGAAAUUCGCAUGUUUUUCUUAUCAAAGCUCCGGCGGUACAGGAUGGACCCGCGUCUGAUUAGCUAGUUGGUGAGGUAACGGCUCACCAAGGCGACGAUCAGUAGCCGACCUGAGAGGGUGAUCGGCCACAUUGGAACUGAGACACGGUCCAAACUCCUACGGGAGGCAGCAUG
This 259-nucleotide ribosomal RNA is filed under the name uncultured bacterium. RNAcentral's name for it is "partial 16S ribosomal RNA". It matches the Rfam family "Bacterial small subunit ribosomal RNA", at positions 96 to 353 of the family's 1533-position model. The record is from RNAcentral.